AGUGAACGCUGGCGGUAGGCCUAACACAUGCAAGUCGAACGGCAACACAGUAAGAGCUUGCUCUUACGGGUGGCGAGUGGCGGACGGGUGGGGAAUACAUCGGAAUCUACUUUUUCGUGGGGGAUAACGUAGGGAAACUUACGCUAAUACCGCAUACGACCUACGGGUGAAAGCAGGGGAUCUUCGGACCUUGCGCGAUUGAAUGAGCCGAUGUCGGAUUAGCUAGUUGGCGGGGUAAAGGCCCACCAAGGCGACGAUCCGUAGCUGGUCUGAGAGGAUGAUCAGCCACACUGGAACUGAGACACGGUCCAGACUCCUACGGGAGGCAGCAGUGGGGAAUAUUGGACAAUGGGCGCAAGCCUGAUCCAGCCAUACCGCGUGGGUGAAGAAGGCCUUCGGGUUGUAAAGCCCUUUUGUUGGGAAAGAAAAGCAGCAGGUUAAUACCCCGCUGUUCUGACGGUACCCAAAGAAUAAGCACCGGCUAACUUCGUG
This 492-nucleotide ribosomal RNA is filed under the name uncultured bacterium. Its description in RNAcentral is "partial 16S ribosomal RNA". It matches the Rfam family "Bacterial small subunit ribosomal RNA", at positions 29 to 507 of the family's 1533-position model. The record is from RNAcentral.